UAAUUUUAUUGUUAGAGUUGAAUCUUAGUGAAUGAUAUAUGAGAUUGCUUCUAAGUUUAUAGUCUUUCCUGGGUACUACAAAAGGUUUGAGAAAGAUGUGGAGAAGGCAGAGGCAAUGUGGGAAUGACAUCAUGAUAUGGGUAUAACAUAAUCUCGAUGGAUUCUUUCUCAAGAACUCGAAAUGUUGACAGAUGCUUGAGUUGCAGAGGAUAUGGGAUAUAAACAUUUUUGCAAAAAGCUUCGCAGACUAACCCUAAUGACCUUGCCAGCGACCUUGCCAGCUGCAAGUGUUAGCUAGCAGUUCCGUGGAUAUACACAAAUGAAUCUUUAUGUUGGCCAACUUGGAUGAGGUAAAACCGAGACCUCUAUGCUUAGGUUUACAUGUCAGCGACGAUUAACGUGCUAUAUAUUGCUUAAGGUUACAUGUACUCGACCUUUGCUAUAUAACCUGCUAUCCCUAGAACCUCCAAGUAAGAGCAUGUCUUUUAAUCAAUGAUGCCACUUCGAAAGUUUACCUUCAAGUAUCAUUUGCAUGCUAAAUAAGACUGGAUUUUCCCUUGGUAAUUAAAUAAGCUUCAUUUGAAAGAGGUUGGUUACAUGUAGUCUGAUUUACCCAUAUAGGCUUCUACUGCUAGAACUCAUAUUGCUAUAUGUGUGUGCCCAGAGCCCACUUAAUGUUAUAUGUUGGCUUUUUUGGGGUGAUAUCAGCUGUUAAGCAUGAUAUGUGGGUUAAAUGUUCAAGUCUGAGUUGUAAGUUUCUGUUUCAUUGUUUCAUAGUUGAAUGCUUGAAGGCUUUCAUUGUA
Long non-coding RNA from Erigeron canadensis, 803 nucleotides. RefSeq lists it as uncharacterized. Lineage: Eukaryota; Viridiplantae; Streptophyta; Magnoliopsida; Asterales; Asteraceae. The transcript is spliced from 3 exons. The record is from RefSeq and is a predicted model, not a curated record.